UAUAGUUUAUCGAAAAUAACUCAUAUAAUAGCGAGGAUAUGGCUUGCAAGUUUCUACCAAACUACCGUAAAUAGUUUGACUAUGAGUGAAUAAUGACACGUA
Molecule: non-coding RNA, 102 nt
Filed under: Alkalihalobacillus pseudalcaliphilus
Lineage: Bacteria; Bacillati; Bacillota; Bacilli; Caryophanales; Bacillaceae
Description: Bacillus pseudalcaliphilus Guanine sequence
Rfam family: Purine riboswitch aptamer
About the family: Riboswitches are metabolite binding domains within certain messenger RNAs that serve as precision sensors for their corresponding targets. Allosteric rearrangement of mRNA structure is mediated by ligand binding, and this results in modulation of gene expression.
Source: RNAcentral